AAUUUUUAACUUAGAUACAUUUUCCUGAAUUUCUCUCUGAUGAUAGUGAAAUAGGGGAUUAAGUCCAUCCACUUCUCCACAAAAACUGCUUAACAGAAUUGAUUAAGCUUAUACAUGUUUCAUUUAAACUCGAAAGGUGUGUAUGUCAUAGUUGCAUAGAUGUUUAUUGAACUUGUUCGUGAAUUUUGUUCAAUUAUUGAUCUUUAUAUGAUAAUACGUUGUGUUAUCUAACCCGUCAACAAUUUUCAAAACUUUGUCUGAAAUGAAUGAAUAUAUAUGAACUUCUUUUGUGUUUUCUCUCUUGAUAUUUUCCUGAUUAUUAAAGAUGUGAUUGUCAAUCCAUGAAUGUGUCAUUUUUUUGUGGUAACGAAAUGAACACCUGCAGUGGCACUCCUGGCAGCCAACUUCCUCGUAGUGAGUGCCGGUAACAUGAACAGCAAGACCAACAUUACAAGAUUGCCGACUUGUGUGGAUGAUUGCUGUUACGACUAUCUGCUGUGUCUGAUCCUGAGUUGUGUGCCUCAUCACAGUGUUGCAAGACGAUUAUUGUUAUACUGAUCAUGCCGAAGGUCAGAAGGAAGGGUCGGCGAGCCAGACUGGCUCAAAUGAAGGAGUACCAUCAAGAGAAAACUUCAGCUGAGCG
Long non-coding RNA from Haliotis rubra (blacklip abalone), 643 nucleotides. RefSeq lists it as uncharacterized. The transcript has 3 exons. The record is from RefSeq and is a predicted model, not a curated record. Lineage: Eukaryota; Metazoa; Mollusca; Gastropoda; Lepetellida; Haliotidae.